GGAGUCGGCCAGGCAGCCGCUAUAAGUUUAUGACUUAUGGAGGAAAGUCCGGGCUCCUUCGGACAGGGCGCCAGGUAACGCCUGGAGGGCGCGAGCCCAUGGAAAGUGCCACAGAAAAUAUACCGCCAGCGAUGGUAAGGGUGAAAAGGUGCGGUAAGAGCGCACCGCGCGACUGGUAACAGGUCGCGGCACGGUAAACCCCGCCCGGAGCAAGACCAAAUAGGGGAGCAUUCCGUCGGAUCCGAACGGGCUCCCGGGUAGGUCGCUAGAGGCAGCCGGUGACGGCUGUCCCAGAUGAAUGGUUGUCGCAGACAGAACCCGGCUUAUUGCCGGCUCCCGCU
Molecule: RNase P RNA, 341 nt
Filed under: Woeseiaceae bacterium
Lineage: Bacteria; Pseudomonadati; Pseudomonadota; Gammaproteobacteria; Woeseiales; Woeseiaceae
Description: RNase P RNA component class A
Rfam family: Bacterial RNase P class A
About the family: Ribonuclease P (RNase P) is a ubiquitous endoribonuclease, found in archaea, bacteria and eukarya as well as chloroplasts and mitochondria.
Source: RNAcentral